GGGGGGUGCGAGCGUUGUCCGGAAUCACUGGGCGUAAAGGGCGCGUAGGUGGUCUGAUAAGGGUGUGGUGAAAGCCCGGGGCUCAACCCCGGGUCGGCCGUGCCGACUGUUAGACUAGAGUGCUGUAGGGGCAGGCGGAAUUCCGGGUGUAGCGGUGGAAUGCGUAGAGAUCCGGAGGAAGACCGGUGGCGAAGGCGGCCUGCUGGGCAGUUACUGACACUGAGGCGCGACAGCGUGGGGAGCAAACAGGAUUAGAUACCCUGGUAGUCCACGCCGUAAACGAUGGGUACUAGGUGCCUGGGGGAGCGACCCCUUGGGUGCCGGCGCUAACGCAGGAAGUACCCCGCCUGGGGAGUACGACCGCAAGGUUG
RNAcentral lists this ribosomal RNA (371 nucleotides) under uncultured bacterium. RNAcentral's name for it is "bacterial SSU rRNA". It matches the Rfam family "Bacterial small subunit ribosomal RNA", at positions 527 to 896 of the family's 1533-position model. The record is from RNAcentral.